Molecule: non-coding RNA, 255 nt
Organism: Cinara cedri
Lineage: Eukaryota; Metazoa; Arthropoda; Insecta; Hemiptera; Aphididae
Source: the annotation of a GenBank genome assembly
AGCGAAGGUAACCACGAGUCUAACGAAACAAAUUAUAGAACAAACAACUUUAGGAAACAUUCGUUUUAGUAAUACUACUAUCGAUAAUUUUAUCAUAUUUUAUGGUACGCAUAUUCUUGGCGACGAAAUGUAUUUUAUGGUUUUUGUCCUUUUUUGAAAACACGUCUCUCAACAUCCGGAUAAUAUUGAGCACGUUUCAAAAUACCUGCAGCUCUAUCAUGUUCAUUCAUUUUUACAGUUCACAAAAUAUCCCAG